This 74-nucleotide transfer RNA is filed under the name Serpula lacrymans var. lacrymans S7.3. It matches the Rfam family "tRNA". Rfam says of the family: Transfer RNA (tRNA) molecules are approximately 80 nucleotides in length. Lineage: Eukaryota; Fungi; Basidiomycota; Agaricomycetes; Boletales; Serpulaceae. The record is from Rfam by way of RNAcentral.
GGGCUGGUAGCUCAAUUGGUUAGAGCACCACCAUAUAUAGGCAGAGGCCCUGGGUUCAAUCCCUGACUGGUCCA